GGGCUUGACAUCCCACGAAUCCCGCCGAAAGGCGGGAGUGCCCGCAAGGGAGCGCGGAGACAGGUGGUGCAUGGCUGUCGUCAGCUCGUGUCGUGAGAUGUUGGGUUAAGUCCCGCAACGAGCGCAACCCUCACCCCUUGUUGCCACCAGGUCACGCUGGGCACUCUAGGGGAACUGCCCCGGUCAACGGGGAGGAAGGCGGGGACGACGUCAAGUCAUCAUGCCCCUUACGUCCUGGGCUACACACGUGCUACAAUGGCCGGUACAGAGGGAUGCAAGACCGUGAGGUGGAGCUAAACCCAAAAAGCCGGUCUAAGUUCAGAUUGGAGUCUGCAACUCGACUCCAUGAAGGAGGAAUCGCUAGUAAUCGCGUAUCAGCACGACGCGGUGAAUACGUUCCCGGGCCUUGUACACACCGCCCGUCACACCACGAAAGCCAGUUGUACUCGAAGUCGCUGAG
Molecule: ribosomal RNA, 460 nt
Filed under: uncultured Methylomirabilota bacterium
Lineage: Bacteria; Methylomirabilota (SeqCode)
Description: bacterial SSU rRNA
Rfam family: Bacterial small subunit ribosomal RNA
Source: RNAcentral